CCUGUGCCCCUAGUAAGGGAGGCUAGCUCUCCUUCAGAAUACCAUCCCCCUCUGGGCUCUUUGCUCUCCCACCUACCUGAAAGCCACAGUCGUAGCAGUCUCCUGCCUCAACACCACCGUGUUAGGUUCAGUCCCUUGUGAGUGCGUCAGUGCUGACACUUCUAAGUGGCUUUACAAGAUGACUGGAAUUUUCCAUAUUAAAGCUCCGAACUGUCCAUUGUGUAUUUUAUUUUCAUUUACCUGUUAGGGACUCCUUCUUCUUCUCCUCGUGCUAUACGCACUAGGCACAGAGAUCUGUGGCUGAGCUGUAUCCCAAAUUCUCAUCAUCCUUUAUGAUGGUUGCGUUUUAAAUAUAGGAAAGUUCAAAUUUGGGGGAGAAUUCUGGCACUGGAAUGUGUGUGGUGUUUUCAUACUCUCUUUGCAUAUGUUCCUUCAAAAUUCAAGAAUUUUGUUAAUUACAUAAAUUGCAUAUGGCCUAUCAGUUAUUUGUUAUUUGGGUCAUUAAGUCAAAGAUGUUUUGUUAUAAAGAAAUUAUGUGAUUUGUGAAUCCUUUAAAAGUUUACAUUCAUUUAUUUAUUUACUUAUUGUAUGUGUAUAUAGGUCAGAGGACAGCUUGAGGGAGUUGGUUAUUUUUCGUCUACCACGUGGGCUUGGGACGGAACUCUGGUCCUUAGGCUUGGCAAGCAGGUGCCUUUACCCACUGAGCCAUCUGCCUUUAUCCACCGAGCCAUCUUGCAGGGCCAUAAUUUGUGAAUUCUUAAACUCAGAACCAACAUGGCAAUGGUGUUGAUUCACCAACAGCAGAAGUUGGAACCAGGUUUGUUUCUCAGCAGCACUGACCCAACAGUCAAAAAUAGGUUUGUCUGCCAUUAGACACCCAUGAGCUCCAUGUUUGCUGGUUCCUUGAAUCAUGUGCUCUUUGGCAUGAAGAGAACAGAGAAGAGGGCUGAGCAGUCAACAGGCUAGAGUCAACUGAUAAGAGGGAAACGCGCCUGAGAAAAUGAAAUGCCUCCAUCAGAUCAGCUGUAGGCAAGCCUGUGGGACAUUUUCUUAAUUAGUGAUUGAUGAGGGAGGACCCAGCCCAUUGUGGGUGGUGGCACCCCUGGGCUGGUGGUCCUGGGCUCUAUAAGUAGGCUAAGCAAACCAUGAGAAGAAAACCAAGAAGUAGCAACCUUCCCUGGUCUCUGCCUCCGGGUUCAUGGCCUGCUGCAGUGCCUACCCUAAUUUCCUUCAGUGGUAGACUAUGGAUGUGGAAUUGUAAACCAAAUAAGCCCUC
Molecule: long non-coding RNA, 1276 nt
Organism: Acomys russatus (golden spiny mouse)
Lineage: Eukaryota; Metazoa; Chordata; Mammalia; Rodentia; Muridae
Exons: 4
Source: RefSeq, a predicted model, not a curated record